AAAAUCUAUGCGUGUACCACAGGAAUUCAUUGAAAAAUGUGAGAGCUGCUCUUAACAGGCACUUGACUGACAUAAACUGAGAUAUUGACAUUGUAAAAGGCAAUGAAUUUAGACAAAGCAAUGUUAUUUUGGAUAGUACACUCAAAGUUAGUCUAGACAUGCACCCUUGUGUAUCAGUACAGAAAUUACUACGAACUGGAGAUAGGACACGG
Molecule: long non-coding RNA, 212 nt
Filed under: Mytilus galloprovincialis (Mediterranean mussel)
Lineage: Eukaryota; Metazoa; Mollusca; Bivalvia; Mytilida; Mytilidae
Source: RNAcentral